Molecule: long non-coding RNA, 1530 nt
Filed under: Gossypium barbadense (sea-island cotton)
Lineage: Eukaryota; Viridiplantae; Streptophyta; Magnoliopsida; Malvales; Malvaceae
Description: long non-coding RNA (GBAR_LNC005967)
Source: RNAcentral
UCGAAGUGAAAAUAAAACUGGAAGGAUAAUUCACGAAUAGAAGAAAAGCCAAAAGACGAAUUUAAGGAUAAAAGCUUGAUAUACACAAAUGUUCAAGGACUAAACCGAAAAUUGUCCCCGAAUUUUAAAAUGCAACAUUUAAUCGUUGAUUAAAUUGGGACUAUGUACAAAUCUUAGGAAUAAAUUAAAAAACGAAAGGGAAUAAAAGGGGUUUCAACUGAAUUAUGGCACGAGCAGAAGGGGCUUAGUACGCCAUUGUCCCUUCCAGACCUAACACGCGGGUCAUCGGGUGAAGGCCACCAUUCGACGUAGUAUUUGGACCACCAAAAAUUGGUCAAAACGGCGUCGUUCUUUCGCUCUCUUAUAAAGCUAACAUUACCUUCCUUCAGCCGAACCCUAACCAUGCCCUAGCCUCCCCCUUUUCAACAGCCGCACUUUUCAUUUUCCCUCAAAAACACCAGCACUCUGCAAGGUAUGGUGACCGGCGCUCCAAGCUUCAAAGUACGGCCCGUUUUAGCCACAGACCCCCCCUUCUAACUCCGAUUACGACAAAGUGAAAGGGGACCGACGGCCUAGCAGUGAGGUAAGUCCUUCGUUUUAUUUUGUUAUGCUAAGAAAAAAGACAAAAUAAAAAAAGGAAUGGAACUGAUAAAAAAAGAAACAAGGCGCUUCAAAUCACCUUUUCGAUUGCUCUUUUUCUUUGUAUUUGAUAUGCCAAAUGUGUGUCUGUAUUGCUUUCUAAUGCGAUUGCGCGUAAAUAUUACAAUGAACAAAAGCUUUGGCUUUAUAGCCGAAACAGAAAUAAGAAAGAUCCAAAAUAAAAUAAUAAUAAUAAAUCAAUACGAAUUCUCCUUUUCGUAUUUGCUGUUGUGGUUUUGUAUUUACUCGCAGGUACGGAGUCUGCUGGCAUGUGUACGGAGGUACGGGCAUGGCGUACAAGGGCUGUGGCGUGGCUGCUGAAACGUUGGGGCAUAUGGAGGCAUGGAGGCUGGGGCUUGGUGGACCUGCUAGGGUUUCUGUCUUGGUUUCAGUACUUGGGCCGUUUGGGCUUGUAACAAGUUUGGGCUAGGGCAUUGGUUAUUGGGCCAUGUAAUUGGACUUGUUAUUAGAUUUAAGUUUUGGUCUUGUAUUAAUUUUGGGUUUUGGACUGUAAAAAAGGAUAUUUAAUGGACUGUGGUUAUUUAUUUAUUUAUUUAUUUUAUAUUUAUAUAUAUGUUUGGGGUUUUUUAGCGGGCCCGGGCCAAAAUUGGUCACUACAGCUACUAUUUCAACUAUGAAAGUAAAAGUGCGUAAAAUAUAAAAAUGAUCAUCAAAAUUAUGCAGGUCUUUAUCCAUAACAAUGAUUCACUAUCUUCCUCACAGUGCAACUAAUUUUUUACAUCCUAGUAUUGGUCUAACACUCAUCAAUUUAGAAAUCUCAUUGUUGUACAAAGACUAAAUCACUCCCCCACUAAGUUUUUCUCUCGAAAGUUUAGUUUUGCAAUCUAGAGACUCUCUUGAUUGCUUACAGAAGCAAUGCACACAUAAAAU